UUAAAUGUGGCAAGUACGUACAGACACGUCUUUAUAGGCGGGUGUCUGUGUGCGCUAAGGCCGUUGGUGGUAGGCUCUACAGUCUACCAUGAAGCUUGAAGCUUUCAGCGCUUGCAACAAUGGCGACGACUAGUGCUUCUCUCCUCCAUCUUCCUUCCCCAUCUUUCUUUCCUGUCUCUCUUCCAAAAACAGUCAUUCCUAUCCCUCUCCUCCGUCUCAACAAAACCCAUAUUCUCAUUCUUUCUACCAUUGCACUUUUCCCACCGUUUCUCCGCGCCAAAUUCCUCCUCACCGUCUGAUGAGCAUGUAUGGCAAAUGGGGUUUCAAUUUUCUGACUGUAAGGUCCGAAUCCAAACCCAGCAUCAACAGAGAGCCUAUGCUGCCUCCGUACAAUUUACAGGUUCAACCAAAGUUUUGUAGCUUGAAGAUCUUAGGCUGGACAUUCACAAGGAAAGGAAAUAUCUUAUGCAUGCGGUUCAAGAGCUGGUAUCCGGAGAUCAAUGUGAAGGGAGAUUUGUAUUUGGCAGGGAUAGCAAGAAGCCAAAGGAUUCUGGUAAUGAUGACAGGUUCACAAGAGAUGGAAUGAAGAGCUUGCUUCAAACUCUGAGGAUGAGGGCAGGGCACUCUCCUCCAAAAUACAAAACCAAGCACCUCAAGACAAAUGAGUUUAGAGUGCUGGAAGAGUUCAAGGGUAUGCAAUUUGUUGGAAAACCUAGGAAAAACAAGCAGGUUACUGAAAGGGAUGCUGCUGUAAAGGCAUUGGCAUGGUUAACUCAUACUACUGACAACAGCCGAGAUGAAGAUGACAAGUCCCCAUCUGAUGUGACUGACAACAUGCUUAAGCUUCUUGGGAAACAUAGAAGAUGAAAAUGUCUGGUUGAUGAUGGAUGAUGGAAAAUGGUAGGAGAUUGACAUAUAAAUUCUCGGCAUCCUCUGUUAGGAUUUCUGAACACCAUGGUGACCUGCAGAAUACAUAAUGUAGUAAAAUUUGGCAGCUUGAGGGCGCAGGGAAGUUUUCUAACUGAGUAAAUACUCAUUCAGUUACCCUCGUUGGGUGCAUGCAAUAACAGCUCCCCUCACAUGAGAUAAUCUUUACAAGUUCAACUAUGAUUGCAUUAUUUUCAACUAUGAUUGCAUUAUUUUGCCAUAGCAAUGAGAAGUUUAUAAGGGUGGAUAACUUCUCAUCAAUGUAUUGACCACUAGUUCUGUAACUUAUCAUAACUUAGUACAUAGGAAGUGAAGGUUCGAAAGUUUCCAACAAUACAGGGUUUCAUCUAUCUCUAGUUGAAAAUAGUUCAGGCAAGCAAACAGAUGGAGAGUGCAAUGGGUUGACCAAGCAGUCUCCCUCAGAAAAGAAAUUGAAUUACAUUCGAUAGCUUUGUGAACAAAUUGAUUCUUUUUAUCACGUAAAAUAUU
Molecule: RNA transcript, 1416 nt
Organism: Ziziphus jujuba (common jujube)
Lineage: Eukaryota; Viridiplantae; Streptophyta; Magnoliopsida; Rosales; Rhamnaceae
Gene name: DExH-box ATP-dependent RNA helicase DExH3-like
Exons: 2
Source: RefSeq, a predicted model, not a curated record